This 245-nucleotide long non-coding RNA is filed under the name Marmota monax (woodchuck). Lineage: Eukaryota; Metazoa; Chordata; Mammalia; Rodentia; Sciuridae. The record is from RNAcentral.
CUAGAAAUAAAUAAGAUGAGAGAAAAGCUGUUCGCCCCUGAAGAACAGAUAGGGCGAGAGGACGGAUGGACAUUUCAAGAAAAUAGAAAAAUUGAUACAAUGUGUUUUUGUAUCGUUUUUGUUUCAGUUUUGUUUUGUGUUAUCUUAGUGGGUUGUGUUAUCUUUGUUACGGAAAUAUGGCAUCAGAAGUUAGUAAGAAUCAAACUGAAAGGGUGUUAAGUAAAUUGCUAAAGGAAGAAGGCACC